UAGCUCAUUGGUCAGAGCGUUGGCCUGGAGACCCAAGGGUCUGGGUUUGACUCUCUG
Molecule: non-coding RNA, 57 nt
Organism: Myotis lucifugus (little brown bat)
Lineage: Eukaryota; Metazoa; Chordata; Mammalia; Chiroptera; Vespertilionidae
Source: Rfam